GUUAAUCGGAAUUACUGGGCGUAAAGCGUGCGCAGGCGGGUUGGUAAGUCCGUUGGGAAAGCCCCGAGCUCAACUUGGGAAUUGCAGUGGAUACUGGCAGGCUGGAGUACGGUAGAGGAAGGUGGAAUUCCCGGUGUAGCAGUGAAAUGCGUAGAUAUCGGGAGGAACACCAGUGGCGAAGGCGGCCUUCUGGACCAGUACUGACGCUCAUGCACGAAAGCGUGGGGAGCAAACAGG
RNAcentral lists this ribosomal RNA (237 nucleotides) under uncultured bacterium. RNAcentral's name for it is "partial 16S ribosomal RNA". It matches the Rfam family "Bacterial small subunit ribosomal RNA", at positions 540 to 776 of the family's 1533-position model. The record is from RNAcentral.